CGGCUGCUGCCCUACCACGUGUACCAGGGCAUGCUGCCGGCCCAGAGAGAGUGCCAGAGGGUGGAUGAGGAGUUUGAGGCGGUGUCGGAGCAGCUCCUGCGCCGCACGCGGGCGAUGCUCAACAAAUACCGGCUGCUGCUGCUCGAGGAGUCGCGGCGGGCGAGCCCCUCGGCGGAGAUGGUGAUGAUCGACCGCAUCUUCAUCCAGGAGGAGAAAACGGCGCUGGCGCUGGACCGGCAGCUGGCACGGGACAA
Long non-coding RNA from Malurus melanocephalus (red-backed fairy wren), 254 nucleotides. RefSeq lists it as uncharacterized. The transcript is spliced from 3 exons. Lineage: Eukaryota; Metazoa; Chordata; Aves; Passeriformes; Maluridae. The record is from RefSeq and is a predicted model, not a curated record.